CCGUGUGUGAAGAAGGACUUCUGGUUGUAAAGCACUUUCAGUUGUGAGRAWAAGURAGUAGUUAAUACCUGCUCACCGUGACGUUAACAACAGAAGAAGCACCGGCUAACUCCGUGCCAGCAGCCGCGGUAAUACGGAGGGUGCGAGCGUUAAUCGGAAUUACUGGGCGUAAAGCGCCACGCAGGCGGUUUGUUAAGCUAGAUGUGAAAGCCCCGAGCUCAACUUGGKAURKUCAUUUAGAACUGGCAGACUAGAGUCUUGGAGAGGGGAGUGGAAUUCCAKKUGUAGCGGUGAAAUGCGUAGAUAUCUGKAGGAACAUCAGURGCGAAGGCGACUCCCUGGCCAAAKACUGACGCUCAUGUGCGAAAGUGUGGGUAGCGAACAGGAUUAGAUACCCUGGUAGUCCACACCGUAAACGCUGUCUACUAGCUGUUUGUGCUUUAAGGCGUGAGUACGAMKAACGCGAUAAGUAGACCG
RNAcentral lists this ribosomal RNA (477 nucleotides) under uncultured Gammaproteobacteria bacterium. Its description in RNAcentral is "partial 16S ribosomal RNA". It matches the Rfam family "Bacterial small subunit ribosomal RNA", at positions 399 to 871 of the family's 1533-position model. The record is from RNAcentral. Lineage: Bacteria; Pseudomonadati; Pseudomonadota; Gammaproteobacteria.